RNAcentral lists this ribosomal RNA (468 nucleotides) under uncultured bacterium. Its description in RNAcentral is "partial 16S ribosomal RNA". It matches the Rfam family "Bacterial small subunit ribosomal RNA", at positions 28 to 507 of the family's 1533-position model. The record is from RNAcentral.
GACGAACGUUGGCGGCGUGCUCAACACAUGCAAGUCGAACGGAAAGGCCCUGCUUUUGUGGGGUGCUCGAGUGGCGAACGGGUGAGUAACACGUGAGUAACCUGCCCUUGACUUUGGGAUAACUUCAGGAAACUGGGGCUAAUACCGGAUAGGAGCUCCUGCUGCAUGGUGGGGGUGGGAAAGUUUCGGCGGUUGGGGAUGGACUCGCGGCUUAUCAGCUUGUUGGUGGGGUAGUGGCUUACCAAGGCUUUGACGGGUAGCCGGCCUGAGAGGGUGACCGGCCACAUUGGGACUGAGAUACGGCCCAGACUCCUACGGGAGGCAGCAGUGGGGAAUAUUGCACAAUGGGCGGAAGCCUGAUGCAGCAACGCCGCGUGCGGGAUGACGGCCUUCGGGUUGUAAACCGCUUUCGCCUGUGACGAAGCGUGAGUGACGGUAAUGGGUAAAGAAGCAACGGCUAACUACGUG